This is a long non-coding RNA of Numida meleagris (helmeted guineafowl), 3210 nucleotides long. The record is from Ensembl. Lineage: Eukaryota; Metazoa; Chordata; Aves; Galliformes; Numididae.
CAGGUGCUGGGCUUCAACACGCGGCAGCGCAAGGCGUUCCUGAACGCGGUGAUGCGCUGGGGGAUGCCGCCCCAGGACGCCUUCACCUCGCAGUGGUUGGUGCGCGACCUGCGCGGCAAGAGCGAGAAGGAGUUCAAGUGGGUGCAGCGCGUGGCCACGCGUGUCAGCCCGUGUCCUUGCGUGUCAGCCCGUGUCCUCGUGUCAGCCCAUGUCCCCGUGUCAGCCUGUGACUUCCUGUGUCAGCCCGCAUCCUUCUGUCUCAUCCCGUGUCCUCGCGUGCCAUCCCGUGUCCUCGCGUGCCAUCCCAUGUCCUCGCGUGUCAUCCCGUGUCCUCACGUGUCAUCCCGUGUCCUCGCGUGUCAGCCCAUGUCCUUGUGUGUCAGCCCAUGUCCUCGUGUCAUCCCGUGUCCUUGCAUGUGAUCCCGUGUCCUUGCAUGUGAUCCCAUGUCCUCGCAUGCCAUCCCGUGUCCUCGCGUGCCAUCCCGUGUCCUCACGUCAGCCCAUGUCCUCGUGUCAGCCCGUGACUUCCUGUGUCAGCCCAUGUCCUCCUGUGUCGUCUUGUGUCCUCGCGUGUCCUCGCGUGUCAGCCCGUGUCCUCACGUGUCAGCCCGUGUCCUCACGUGUCAGCCCAUGUCCUCGUGUCAGCCCGUGACUUCCUGUGUCAGCCUGUGUCCUCCUGUGUCAGCCCGUGUCCUCACAUGUCAGCACAUGUCCUUGCGUGUCAGCCCGUGUCCUCAUGCCAUCCCGUGUCCUCGCAUGCCAUCCCAUGUCCUCGCGUGCCAUCCCAUGUCCUCACGUCAGCCCAUGUCCUCGUGUCAGCCCGUGACUUCCUGCGUCAGCCUGUGUCCUCCUGUGUCGUCUUGUGUCCUCGCGUGUCAUCCCAUGACCUCACGUGUCAUCCCGUGUCCUCGCGUGUCAUCCCGUGUCAUUGUGUGUCAGCCCGUGUCCUCGUGUCAGCCCAUGACUUCCUGUGUCAGCCUGCAUCCUUCUGUCUCAUCUUGGGUCCUCCUGUGUCAUCCCGUGUCCUCGCGUGUCAGCACAUGGCCUUGCAUGUCAUCCCCUGUCCUUGCUUGUCAUCCCAUGUCCUCACAUGUGAUCCCGUGCCCUCACAUGUCAGCACAUGUCCUUGCGUGUCAGCCCAUGUCCUCGUGUCAUCCUGUGUCCUUGCGUGUGAUCCCGUGUCCUCACAUGUCAGCCCAUGUCCUCGCGUGCCAGCCCGUGUCCUUGUGUCAACCCGUGACUUCCUGUGUCAGCCCGUGUCCUCGCGUGUCAGCCCAUGUCCUCGUGUGUCUGCCCGUGUCCUCCUGUGUCAUCCCGUGUCCUCGUUUGUCAUCUCAUGUCCUCCUGUGUGAUCCCGUGUCCUGUGUCAGCCCAUGUCCUCACAUGUUAGCCUGUGUCCUCGUGUGUGAUCCCGUGUCCUCGUGUGUGAUCCCGUGUCCUCAUGUGUGUCCCCAUGUCCUCGUGUGUCCCCAUGUCCUCGUGUGUCCCCAUGUCCCCAUGUGUGUCCCCAUGUCUUUGUGUCCCCAAGUCCUCUUCCUUGUCCCCCUGCCACCUUUCACGUCUCCCUGUCCCCACUUCUGUCCCCACCCGUGUCCCCAAGUCCCCCCCCAUCUCCCUCCACCCGCGUGUCCCCCUCUGUGUCCCCACUCAUGUCCCCCUGUCCCCACGUGUCCUGCAGUCCCCGCCUCUUGGUGUCCCCCUCUGACCCCCCCAUGUCCCCAUCUGUCCCAUCUUGUCCCCCCGUUGUCCCCGUGCCGCGUGAUGAGCCCUUACUCAGCCGAGCGCCGUCGCCGUCGGUUUUCCUGGGGAGCGGGCGAGGGCCGCGUCCCCCUCGCACCGACACACAGCCACCCCCGCGGGGACAGGGCCGUCCCCGUGUCCCCAAUGUCCCCGGGGGGGGCCGGCCGAGGCCCCCCGGGGUGGGGCCAGAGAUGUGGCAGCACCCGGGCGACGCCGGCACAGCCCUGGGCUGGGCGCUGUGACGAGGGGACAGCUGAUGGCGCGGGGACGUCGCUGGGGGCGUUGGGGGGAAUGGGGGCAAUGGGGGACAGCGUGGGUAACGGGGACAGCGGGGAUGGUGGGGACACUGGGGACAUUGGGGGUGAUGGGGACAUUGGGGACAUCGGGGAUGAUGGGGACAUUGGGGACAUUAGGGACAUCGGGGAUGAUGGGGACAUUGGGGAUGCUGGAGACAUUGGGGAACAUUGGGGGUGAUGGGGACAUUGGAGACAUUGGGGAUGAUGGGGACAUUGGGGGACAUUGGGGGUGAUGGGGACACUGGGGACAUUGGGGAUGAUGGGGAUGCUGGGGACAUCAGAGGUGCUGGGGACAUUGGGGACAUAGGGGACAUUGGGGACAUUGUGGGUGAUGGGGACAUUGUGGGGCAUUGGGAACACUGGGGAUGCUGGGGACAUUGGGGACAUUGUGCGUAAGGGGGACAUUGGAGACAGUGGGGACAGGGACAUGGGUUGAGGACACCAAGGACCAGAGGAACAGGGUGAAGAUGGGACACAGGGGACAUUGGGGACAGAAGGGACGAGGACUUUGGGGCCAGAAGGGACAAGGACACUGGGGACAAUAGGGACGGGGACAUUGGGGACCAGAGGGAUGGGGACAUUGGGGACAGAAGUGACGGGGACAUUGGGGACAGAAGUGACAGGGACAUUGGGGACAGAAGGGAUGGGGACAUUGGGGACCAGAGGGAUGGGGACACUGGGGACAGAAGGGACGGGGACAUUAGGGACCAGAGGAAUGGGGACAUUGGGGACAGAAGGGCCGGGGACAUUGGGGACCAGAGGGAUGGAGACAUUGGGGACCAGAGGGAUGGAGACAUUGGGGACAGAAGGGACGGGGACAUUGGGGACCGGAGAGAUGGGGACAUUGGGGACUGAAGGGACAGGGGCUUUGGGGACCAUAGGGAUGGGGACAUUGGGGACAGAAGGGACGGGGACAUUGGGGACCGGAGAGAUGGGGACAUUGGGGACCGAAGGGACAGGGGCUUUGGGGACCAGAGGAAUGGGGACAUUGGGCACAGAGGAGACGGGGACAUUGGGGACCGGAGGCACGGGGACACUGGGGACAGAAGGGACGAGGACAUUGGGCACAGAGGAGAUGGGGACAUUGGGGACCAGAGGGAUGGAGACAUUGGGGACAGAAGGGACGGGGACAUUGGGGACCAGAGGGACGGGGACAUUGGGGACAGAAGGGACG